Molecule: ribosomal RNA, 253 nt
Filed under: uncultured bacterium
Lineage: Bacteria
Description: partial 16S ribosomal RNA
Rfam family: Bacterial small subunit ribosomal RNA
Source: RNAcentral
UACGAAGGGGGCUAGCGUUGUUCGGAUUUACUGGGCGUAAAGCGCACGUAGGCGGAUCUUUAAGUCAGAGGUGAAAUCCCAAGGCUCAACCUUGGAACUGCCUUUGAUACUGGGGAUCUUGAGUCCGGGAGAGGUGAGUGGAACUGCGAGUGUAGAGGUGAAAUUCGUAGAUAUUCGCAAGAACACCAGUAGCGAAGGCGGCACUCUGGGCCGUGACUGACGCUGAGGAGCGAAAGCGUGGGUAGCAAACAGG